Molecule: non-coding RNA, 139 nt
Organism: Pelobates cultripes (western spadefoot toad)
Lineage: Eukaryota; Metazoa; Chordata; Amphibia; Anura; Pelobatidae
Source: the annotation of a GenBank genome assembly
UGUCCACACUAAGUUCAGCACCAAUUUGGUGACUCUGAGGGAGCUUGGAGCUACCAGGUUGGUCUAAGGAGGGGUGAACCGGCCCAGGUUGGGAACAGAGCAGGUCAAAUCCCCCGUGUUGAUCAGUAGUGGGACAGCA